CACUCCUGCGGGAGGCAGCAGUGGGGAAUAUUGGACAAUGGGCGCAAGCCUGAUCCAGCCAUGCCGCGUGAGUGAUGAAGGCCCUAGGGUUGUAAAGCUCUUUCACCGGUGAAGAUAAUGACGGUAACCGGAGAAGAAGCCCCGGCUAACUUCGUGCCAGCAGCCGCGGUAAUACGAAGGGGGCUAGCGUUGUUCGGAUUUACUGGGCGUAAAGCGCACGUAGGCGGACUAUUAAGUCAGGGGUGAAAUCCCGGGGCUCAACCCCGGAACUGCCUUUGAUACUGGUAGUCUUGAGUUCGAGAGAGGUGAGUGGAAUGCCGAGUGUAGAGGUGAAAUUCGUAGAUAUUCGGAGGAACACCAGUGGCGAAGGCGGCUCACUGGCUCGAUACUGACGCUGAGGUGCGAAAGCGUGGGGAGCAAACAGGAUUAGAUACCCUAGUAGUCCCAUG
Molecule: ribosomal RNA, 449 nt
Filed under: uncultured organism
Description: partial 16S ribosomal RNA
Rfam family: Bacterial small subunit ribosomal RNA
Source: RNAcentral